GCCAGCAGCCGCGGUAAUACGAAGGGACCUAGCGUAGUUCGGAAUUACUGGGCUUAAAGAGUUCGUAGGUGGUUGAAAAAGUUAGUGGUGAAAUCCCAGAGCUUAACUCUGGAACUGCCAUUAAAACUUUUCAGCUAGAGUAUGAUAGAGGAAAGCAGAAUUUCUAGUGUAGAGGUGAAAUUCGUAGAUAUUAGAAAGAAUACCAAUUGCGAAGGCAGCUUUCUGGAUCAUUACUGACACUGAGGAACGAAAGCAUGGGUAGCGAAGAGGAUUAGAUACCCUCGUAGUCCAUGCCGUAAACGAUGUGUGUUAGACGUUGGAAAUUUAUUUUCAGUGUCGCAGGGAAACCGAUAAACACACCGCCUGGGGAGUACGACCGCAAGGUUAAAACUCAAAUGAAUUGACGGGGACCCGCACAAGUAGUGGAGCAUGUGGUUUAAUUCGAAGAUACGCGCAGAACCUUACCAACACUUGACAUGUUCGUCGCGACUCUAAGAGAUUAGAGUUUUCGGUUCGGCCGGACGAAACACAGGUGCUGCAUGGCUGUCGUCAGCUCGUGUCGUGAGAUGUUGGGUUAAGUCCCGCAACGAGCGCAACCCUCACUUUUAGUUGCCAUCAUUAAGUUGGGCACUCUGAAAGAACUGCCAGUG
This 650-nucleotide ribosomal RNA is filed under the name uncultured Pelagibacterales bacterium. RNAcentral describes it as "SSU rRNA". It matches the Rfam family "Bacterial small subunit ribosomal RNA", at positions 507 to 1157 of the family's 1533-position model. Lineage: Bacteria; Pseudomonadati; Pseudomonadota; Alphaproteobacteria; Candidatus Pelagibacterales. The record is from RNAcentral.